Molecule: ribosomal RNA, 171 nt
Filed under: Kyphosus ocyurus
Lineage: Eukaryota; Metazoa; Chordata; Actinopteri; Centrarchiformes; Kyphosidae
Description: partial small subunit ribosomal RNA
Source: RNAcentral
CACCGCGGUUAUACGAGAGGCCCAAGUUGAUAGACUCCGGCGUAAAGAGUGGUUAAGAUACAUCUACAAAACUAAAGCCGAACGCCCUCAGGGCUGUUAUACGCUCCCGAAGGUAAGAAGUUCAAUCACGAAAGUGGCUUUAUAUUAGCUGAACCCACGAAAGCUAUGACA